This 191-nucleotide ribosomal RNA is filed under the name Patescibacteria group bacterium. RNAcentral's name for it is "partial 16S ribosomal RNA". The stretch from base 1 to 140 matches the Rfam family "Bacterial small subunit ribosomal RNA", at positions 1252 to 1386 of the family's 1533-position model. The record is from RNAcentral.
AUGCCGAUCGAAGGCGGAGCAAACCCUUAGAAAAGAUGCGCCAGUUCGGAUAGAGGUCUGCAACUCGACCUCUUGAAGCCGGAAUCGCUAGUAAUCGCGGGUCAGCUAUACCGCGGUGAAUACGUUCUCAAGUCUUGUACUCACAAUAAAAGCGCGCAGCAGCGUACUUUUCUAGAUGGUUAAAAUCCAUC